This 153-nucleotide ribosomal RNA is filed under the name Helicotylenchus dihystera. RNAcentral's name for it is "5.8S ribosomal RNA". The stretch from base 68 to 153 matches the Rfam family "5.8S ribosomal RNA", at positions 1 to 87 of the family's 154-position model. Rfam says of the family: 5.8S ribosomal RNA (5.8S rRNA) is a component of the large subunit of the eukaryotic ribosome. It is transcribed by RNA polymerase I as part of the 45S precursor that also contains 18S and 28S rRNA. The record is from RNAcentral. Lineage: Eukaryota; Metazoa; Nematoda; Chromadorea; Rhabditida; Hoplolaimidae.
CCAACACCUCUUUUUUCACUAAAAAUUUUUAAAGAUGCACAUGUGUGUGCAGUAUGAACAAAAAUUCUAGCUUUAUCGGUGGAUCACUCGGCUCGUAGGUCGAUGAAGAACGCAGCCAACUGCGAUAAGUAGUGUGAACUGCAGAAACCUUGA